UCCUGCCCGAUGCAAAGUCUGUGAACUACGU
Molecule: non-coding RNA, 31 nt
Filed under: Rattus norvegicus (Norway rat)
Lineage: Eukaryota; Metazoa; Chordata; Mammalia; Rodentia; Muridae
Source: RNAcentral